CUGAGCUCUUGUGCCUGCACUGCAGUAACCUGGGAGCUCUGAGUGGGGGUGAUGGUAGAUCUUUGGAUCCAUCAGGAAAGGGCCAGCAGGUGGCCCAAAGCCAUGCUGCUCCCUGGGCUACCACUGCCCAUCCUGAGCAUGUGAAAGCUGGGCUGCAAGGCAUCAAAAUCAUGACAUGCCCGAAAGGAAAUAGUGACGUGUGGGAGAGUCCUUUUAUUUACACUUUUGCUUUUAAAAUUUUUGGAGCUCAAUUUUGAAGCUUUCUUUCCCCCUCUUGCUGUAGCAAAGGAGAGCUAGAAGCUCCCUCCUAAUUAUUUUUGCAUUAGAGAUGCUCAGAAAAUCCUGGAAUCCCAACAAACUUUGACUUGAAAAUACCAAGUUGUCAGCAGUGCUGUGGUAUGGUAAGAUUUCAGCGUUGUCCUUUGCUCACAUUUGCCUGUAGAUGUACCUGAGUGUAUUUGUACGAGUUAGGGGAUUUGCUUAACCAGACGUUGAGGUGAAAAAAAGGAGGCACAAAUCUAUCUGCAAAAAUUGCUAGGAAAACAGGUUCCUGGUGGGUUUCCUUAUUUCCCCCAAGAGCUUUUCAGCCUCAUCUCUGUGUGGAAACGAAUGCGUGCGGGCCACUAACCUGAAAGCAGUGCUGAGUGAAGCAAUGAUGUGUCUUAAACAGUAAUAUUUCAUGGCAAAUCAUCUGCUCUGAAACGGAGACGAGAAGGUGGCAUUUUUCACCUAACUGCAUCUCUUCUCUAUUUUUCUUACCUUUCUUUUUUGGAAACCUGGUUCAAAUCCAACCUAGGACUUGGUGGUUGUGCUGAGCUGGUUUGGGAAGGGGAUUUUAGCCUCGGUAGAACAAGCUGUUUUGUCAUCUGCUUAGUUACAAUACCUCAGGAAAAAUACCCUAAGGUUCUGCACAGCACCUUUCAAACAGAUUCCUGCAGGAGAAAUCCCUCCUGGGUCAGACCAACGCUUCUGGUUCAUGCACUGACCCAAACAGGCAGGUAGACUUUUGCUUUC
Molecule: long non-coding RNA, 1014 nt
Filed under: Numida meleagris (helmeted guineafowl)
Lineage: Eukaryota; Metazoa; Chordata; Aves; Galliformes; Numididae
Description: lncRNA (ENSNMEG00000006604.1)
Source: RNAcentral